UAAGGAAUAUUGGUCAAUGGACGCAAGUCUGAACCAGCCAUGCCGCGUGGAGGAUUAAGGCCCUCUGGGUUGUAAACUCCUUUUAUCUGGGAAGAAAUGUACUUUUUCUUGAGUACUUGACGGUACCAGAGGAAUAAGCACAGGCUAACUCCGUGCCAGCAGCCGCGGUAAUACGGAGGGUGCAAGCGUUAUCCGGAUUCACUGGGUUUAAAGGGUGCGUAGGUGGGCAGGUAAGUCAGUGGUGAAAUCUCCGGGCUUAACCCGGAAACUGCCGUUGAUACUAUUUCUCUUGAAUAUUGUGGAGGUAAGCGGAAUAUGUCAUGUAGCGGUGAAAUGCUUAGAUAUGACAUAGAACACCAAUUGCGAAGGCAGCUUACUACACAAUCAUUGACGCUGAGGCACGAAAGCGUGGGGAUCAAGCA
This 422-nucleotide ribosomal RNA is filed under the name uncultured bacterium. RNAcentral's name for it is "bacterial SSU rRNA". It matches the Rfam family "Bacterial small subunit ribosomal RNA", at positions 355 to 774 of the family's 1533-position model. The record is from RNAcentral.